UACGGAGGGUGCGAGCGUUGUCCGGAAUCACUGGGCGUAAAGGGCGCGUAGGCGGUGGCCUAAGCGUGCGGUGAAAGCCUGGGGCUCAACCCCGGGUCGGCCGUGCGAACUGGGCGACUUGAGCACUGUAGAGGCAGGCGGAAUUCCGGGUGUAGCGGUGGAAUGCGUAGAGAUCCGGAAGAACACCGGUGGCGAAGGCGGCCUGCUGGGCAGUAGCUGACGCUGAGGCGCGACAGCGUGGGGAGCAAACAGG
This 253-nucleotide ribosomal RNA is filed under the name uncultured bacterium. RNAcentral describes it as "partial 16S ribosomal RNA". It matches the Rfam family "Bacterial small subunit ribosomal RNA", at positions 524 to 776 of the family's 1533-position model. The record is from RNAcentral.